This 421-nucleotide ribosomal RNA is filed under the name uncultured bacterium. RNAcentral describes it as "bacterial SSU rRNA". It matches the Rfam family "Bacterial small subunit ribosomal RNA", at positions 86 to 518 of the family's 1533-position model. The record is from RNAcentral.
AGAAACUUAGUGGCGGACGGGUGAGUAACGCGUGGGUAACCCUGCCUACAUACAGGGGGAUAACAGUUAGAAAUGACUGCUAACACCGCAUAAUAUAGCGAAACCGCAUGAUUUUUGCUAUCGAAAUAGUUUAUAGGGUAUGAGAUGGGCCCGCGUCUGAUUAGCUAGCUGUGGGUAAAGGCCUACCAAGGCGACGAUCAGUAGCCGGCUUGAGAGAGUGACCGGCCACAUUGGGACUGAGACACGGCCCAAACUCCUACGGGAGGCAGCAGUGGGGAAUAUUGGACAAUGGGGGAAACCCUGAUCCAGCGAACCGCCGCGUGAGUGAAGAAGUAUUUCGGUUAUGUAAAGCUCUAUCAGCAGGGAAGAUAAUGACAGUACCUGACUAAGAAGCCCCGGCUAACUACGUGCCAGCCGCUGC